AGGAUUUUAGUUUAUAAAAACAUUUGAUUUGCAUUCAAAAAUUAUUGAUUUUCAAUUUAUCUUA
RNAcentral lists this transfer RNA (64 nucleotides) under Protantigius superans. RNAcentral describes it as "tRNA-Ala". The record is from RNAcentral. Lineage: Eukaryota; Metazoa; Arthropoda; Insecta; Lepidoptera; Lycaenidae.